GAUGAACGCUGGCGGCGUGCCUAAUACAUGCAAGUCGAGCGAACAGACGAGGAUCUUGCUCCUCUGACGUUAGCGGCGGACGGGUGAGUAACACGUGUAUAACCUACCUAUAAUACUGGGAUAACUUCGGGAAACCGGAGCUAAUACCGUAUAAUAUAUUGAACCGCAUGGUUCAAUAGUGAAAGACGGUGUUUCUUUCACGUAUCGAUGGAUCCGCGCCGCAUUAGCUAGUUGUUAAGGUAACGGCUUACCAAGGCAACGAUGCGUAGCCGACGUGAGAGAGUGAUAGGCCACAUUGGAAGUGAGCCACGGUCAAGACUCCUACGGGAGGCAGCAGUAGGGAAUCUUCCGCAGUGGGCGAAAGCAUGACGGAGCGACGCCGAGUGAGUGAUGACGGUCUUCGGAUCGUAAAAAUCUGUUAUUAGGGGAAAACCAAUGUGUAAGUAACUAUGCACGUCUUGACGGUAACUAAUAAGAAAGCAACGGCUAACUACGUG
This 497-nucleotide ribosomal RNA is filed under the name uncultured bacterium. Its description in RNAcentral is "partial 16S ribosomal RNA". It matches the Rfam family "Bacterial small subunit ribosomal RNA", at positions 28 to 507 of the family's 1533-position model. The record is from RNAcentral.